This 120-nucleotide ribosomal RNA is filed under the name uncultured bacterium. Its description in RNAcentral is "partial 16S ribosomal RNA". It matches the Rfam family "Bacterial small subunit ribosomal RNA", at positions 28 to 156 of the family's 1533-position model. The record is from RNAcentral.
GACGAACGCUGGCGGCGUGCUUAACACAUGCAAGUCACGGGGGGGUCGCAAGACUCAACCGGCGAACGGGUGCGUAACACGUGAGCGACCUGCCCCGGUCAGGGGGAUAGCCGGCCCAAC